AUAUCAAUAAGCGGAGGAAAAGAAACCAACAGGGAUUGCCCUAGUAACGGCGAGUGAAGCGGCAACAGCUCAAAUUUGAAAUCUGGCUCUCGGGCCCGAGUUGUAAUUUGUAGAGGAUGCUUUUGGUGCGGUGCCUUCCGAGUGCCCUGGAACGGGACGCCAUAGAGGGUGAGAGCCCCGUCUGGUUGGAUGCCAAUCCUCUGUAAAGCUCCUUCGACGAGUCGAGUAGUUUGGGAAUGCUGCUCUAAAUGGGAGGUAUAUGUCUUCUAAAGCUAAAUACCGGCCAGAGACCGAUAGCGCACAAGUAGAGUGAUCGAAAGAUGAAAAGCACUUUGAAAAGAGAGUUAAAAAGUACGUGAAAUUGUUGAAAGGGAAGCGUUUAUGACCAGACUUGGGCUUGGUUAAUCAUCCAGGGUUCUCCCUGGUGCACUUUUCCAGUCCAGGCCAGCAUCAGUUUGCUUCGGGGGAUAAAGGCUUCGGGAAUGUGGCUCUCUCCGGGGAGUGUUAUAGCCCGUUGCGUAAUACCCUGGGGCGGACUGAGGUACGCGCUUCUGCAAGGAUGCUGGCGUAAUGGUCAUCAACGACCCGUCUUGAAACACGGACCAAGGAGUCGUCUUCGUAUGCGAGUGUUCGGGUGUCAAACCCCUACGCGUAAUGAAAGUGAACGCAGGUGAGAGCUUCGGCGCAUCAUCGACCGAUCCUGAUGUUCUCGGAUGGAUUUGAGUAAGAGCAUACGGGGCCGGACCCGAAAGAAGGUGAACUAUGCUUGUAUAGGGUGAAGCCAGAGGAAACUCUGGUGGAGGCUCGCAGCGGUUCUGACGUGCAAAUCGAUCGUCAAAUAUGAGCAUGGGGGCGAAAGACUAAUCGAACCUUCUAGUAGCUGGUUUCCGCC
RNAcentral lists this ribosomal RNA (892 nucleotides) under Fusarium decemcellulare. RNAcentral's name for it is "eukaryotic LSU rRNA". It matches the Rfam family "Eukaryotic large subunit ribosomal RNA", at positions 40 to 962 of the family's 3401-position model. The record is from RNAcentral. Lineage: Eukaryota; Fungi; Ascomycota; Sordariomycetes; Hypocreales; Nectriaceae.